Oncorhynchus tshawytscha (Chinook salmon) is the source of this 1013-nucleotide long non-coding RNA. Lineage: Eukaryota; Metazoa; Chordata; Actinopteri; Salmoniformes; Salmonidae. The record is from Ensembl.
UAUAAAUCAUCUGUCAUUGAGUUAGUCUGGAGCCUUAAAGGUGAGGUGUAUAAAUCAUCUGUCAUAGAGUUAGCCUGGAGCCUUAAAGGAGCGGUUUAUAAAUUGGACUUGACAUGGAUCUUAUGAUGCCAUGGAGAAUCAGGAAGAGAGAGGGCAACACCCAUGUAUGUCAAAGUCACAGGGUGGGUGACAUAGUGACAUGAUCCUUCAAAACAGUGACACAGUGACAAGAUGAUGAGCAUCCCAGUCAGAUUCUCCACACUGUCUGCCCUGUCUGUGGUUUAAGAUAACAUUAGUUCACCACGCUGUCUGAGAGAGAGAGAGAGAGAGAGAGAGAGACGCAGGGAGAAAGAGGCAGAGAGAGAGAGAGACGCAGGGAGAAAGAGGCAGAGAGAGAGAAAAACAGAGAAAGAAAGGCAGAGAGAAAAAGAGGCAGAGAAAGAGAGAAGUAGAGAGAGAGGGGCAGAGAGAAAAAGAGAGAGAGGCAGAGAGAGAGAGGCAGAGAAAGAGAGAGAGAGAGAGGCAGAGAGAGAGAGAGGCAGAGAGAGUGAGAGAGGCAGAGAAAGUGAGGCAGAGAGAAAGUGAGGCAGAGAGAGAGAGAAGAAGAGACAAAGAGAAGCAGAUAGAGAGGCAGAGAGAGAGAGAGGCAGAGAGAGAGGCAGAGAGAGAGAGAGGCAGCGAGAGAGAGAGGCACAGAGAGAGAGAGAGGCAGAGAGAGAGGCAGAGAGAGAGGCAGAGAGAAAGAGAGGCAGAGAGAAAGAGAGGCAGAGAGAAAGAGAGGCAGAGAAAGGGAGAGAGAGGCAGAGAGAGAGAGAGAGAGUGAGAGAGGCAGAGAGAGAGAAGCAGAGAGAGAGACAGGUAGAGAGAGCAGUUGAAUGCAAGUUUCAGUUGCUCUUCACCAACUUCCUCCUGCAGCCAACGCCUGCACUUUGGGAGGCUCUAUUUAACCAAUAAGGGCCGAGGAAGUGUGGAAUAUGGGCAAUAUACCACGACUGACGGCUGUUCUUAGGCAC